This 76-nucleotide transfer RNA is filed under the name Peptoniphilus harei. Its description in RNAcentral is "tRNA-Thr". It matches the Rfam family "tRNA". Rfam says of the family: Transfer RNA (tRNA) molecules are approximately 80 nucleotides in length. RNAcentral also lists the same sequence under 7 other names. Lineage: Bacteria; Bacillati; Bacillota; Tissierellia; Tissierellales; Peptoniphilaceae. The record is from RNAcentral.
GCUGAUAUGGCUCAGUUGGUAGAGCAAUUGAUUCGUAAUCAAUAGGUCGGCGGUUCAAAUCCGCCUAUCAGCUCCA